Molecule: long non-coding RNA, 4401 nt
Organism: Pipra filicauda (Wire-tailed manakin)
Lineage: Eukaryota; Metazoa; Chordata; Aves; Passeriformes; Pipridae
Exons: 2
Source: RefSeq, a predicted model, not a curated record
GCGGCGUCUGCUCGGGGGGCGCGGGGGAGUCGCACAGGCUCGGGUUCGGGCACAGGCUGCGGUGCCCGCGGGUCCCUGCCCCGCGCCAAGUGACGGACACUCGGCCGAGGCUGUCACAGAGCCCGCACGGGUGUCCCGAGGCUGGCUGUGUGAAGUGACGCUGUGUGUCACCCACGGACUGUCUCAAGAAGAUGAGGGAUGAGCUGGAGCAGCCACAUCAAAGUCCUUGGUUUUUAGGGAAUUAGAAUGACCUUGCGGGUCUGGCGUUUUUCUCCGAGAGAAGGAAAGGAGCAGGACGGCCCCAUUAGUUUUAACACCACUGGCAAGAACAAGCAAACACCUGAUGGCUUCAAAAACCUCUGGGAAGAAGGUUAUGGGGGAACCAAUUUGAUUCUGGGCUUUAUAAUAUUAGUCAAAGGAGAUCUUCCCUUGAAGUGACUGCUUUUUUGAUCACAGCGUUUCUUCAUGAAACUUUGUAGCCUUUUUACAGAAAAGUAGUGGAAUUUUCUUCCUCGAAGUGUGUCUUAAUGUUUCUACAAAGAACAAUUAUUAAGACCCUUGUAACCCAUCACGGUGUGAUGAAAUACACGAACUGAAAGGGCUGAGCCACCAAUGGGACCCUGCUGUGCUCAGGCCACAUCACACUGCUCACCUUCCUUGCUUUUCCCCCUGAAAGGUACUGUCCUGGUUUUGCCAAGGAAGGGAAUGAGUUAAAUCAAUUAUAAGAUGUAUUUAGGUUUCUCAUUUUACCUUGGGAUUUUCUAAGAAAUCACAUCCAGUGUAGUUUUAUCAUACACUGGAUUACACUGAGUAGAGUUCUUGGGUACUGGAGAUAAGCAAAACAAUAAUACUAAAACAGAGCUACGGGUUAUUAAAUAAAAACAGUAAAUAGAGCAAGGACAAAAGAGAGAUGAUGAUAGCAAGAGAAAGGUUAAAAAGCUAUUGUGGAAUUCUGUAGCCAACAGAAACUACAUAGUUCAUUACAUACAGUUUAACCUGAAGUCAUCUUGAAAUUCAUUACACUCAACGCUGUAUCUGAAAAACCUGAAUCAUUUGUGACAGGAGUUAUGCUAAGGCUUGAGUAGUUUGGAAAUUCCAGUUAAAAGUUGAGAGUCAGGCUGAAGAGCCUAAAAUUAUAAAGGUACAUGAAGCAGCCAGCUGUGAGUGUAACAUAUGUCAGCAGCUACUUGCCUACUCAGGGCAAAGCCAGGCUGCCCAAGCCCCCUUUGCCAGCUGCCACAGGAAACUGGUUUUAGACAUAUGCUGAGGGGGAUUUUUUUUUUCCUGUUUCUUCCAGUUUUACCGAAAAAAAUCCAUAUCAUAUGACUCAAAAAUAGCAGGUAAUAUAUUACUAGCAAGGAACUUGGUGUCAUUAAAUUGGGUCCAUCCACAGCCUGAGCACAUUGUACUUCCAAGGUCUGUUUUGGAAUUAUGGCAAUGUGGGAAACACUGUAAAAAUAAUAUAAUGAGACAAUCAAGACAUUUGUUAUAAUGACUUCUUUAAGAUUAUAUCUGUAUAUCAGCUGCUGUUAGUACCUGAGCUGCUGGGUUAUGUACUUUUCUUUGGUUAAAUAUUUGAGGCUGCUCUGCAGUGAGCAUUCAGCAAGUGUAUGAGUAAUAAUUUGGGGAAAACUGUGAGAACUCACACACAUUUAUCUUCACCCCUUACAUGUUACAAUGUCUUUCAGUGAAGAGGUUUUUACUGUGUCUUGGACUAGGAAAAUGGAACAUAUGGACAUCCCUUCUUGUUGUAAAUGCUCUAGGCAUAAGGUGUGGUUAGGUCUCCUGUCUUAAAUUAAAAUACUGGGAAGUUAGUAGCAUCAUGCUGGGAACCGAAUUGAUUUAAUUUAGGAGAGUAUUCAAUGUGCACUAGAUAUCUGAUGUGUGAUAUUAAACCCAGCCAUUUUUAAAGGACCCCCACUGACAUAGCUUGGGUUUGUAUCCAUAGGAGUAGUUCUGUAAUUUCCUUCAUCCUUUCCUGACUUUGCCUCUUUUUGUACUAUUGCUCACACUUGGAGCAGCCUGCCAGUUGAUAUAUGGGAAGGGGCCUCCCUUCCCUCUGUGUAAAGCUCCAUUUCAGCUCUAAUGACCAUUUGCCAGUCUGUUCUGUGCCAUAUUGUUCUGAAUGAGUUUUCUUUGUGCUUUUUUAGACUGACAGUUCAUGUAGUCUGGAGAUCUUUUGUCUUUCUAGUUCACACCGUAUUUUGUAAAAUGCCAUGUUAUGUCUUGAGAUCUAUAUAAAUUAUAAAUACUAGUUAAGCUAAGAGAAGACACCCAGGCAUCCUAUGAAAUGUUCUGUAGUCCCUUCCUGCAAUUCUUGAUGCGCAGGGAGGGGAGACACGAUGUUAUUGCUGCUUGCUUAGUCUUCACUUGGUAACAGCUGCCAUGGAGCUGAAGCAUUGCUCCAGUGCCAGGCCAGCCUCCAUAUCUUUUGCACAUUACUCCUCAGCCUUCCUAAGUUUGUUUGCCUAGAUUUCAUCAUGCAGAGUAAUUUAACUGCAUGGUCACCAUUGUAUCUAUUACUCUUUGUGGAUGUCUGAACAAUUUCCAGCAGAAUGGUUCCUCCUUCAGCCAUGUACACUCUGAAUUUUGUCUCAUUUUCAUUUGUACCUUGGGCUUCUGAUAUAAAUACUGUAAAAAAAAAAAGUGAAAUUCAUUAGUUAUUCUGACUGUCUCUUUGAUAUCCUAGAACAAAAUAAUUUCUUUUAAGGAUGGAAUAAUACCUUUGAUUCAGAAAACACAGCAAUUUGGAGAAGGCAGUUCUUGGGUAAAUAUGCUAAACUUGAAAUCAUGAAGAUAAGUAUUUAAUGAGGAUGCCUAACUAGUUAUCCAGCAUUCAUGGAUGUAGAAAGAUAACCAGCACAGAGCUAAAAAGAGUAUUAAUUUGUGCCUCUUUUUUUCACUGUGUUUGGUUUAAUUUGGGGCAACUGGUAUCUGUUUACAGAUAAAAUAAAUGUAACAUCUGAAGACAGGCAGUAAAUUUCUUUAACUGAAAGACCCAUCAGCUUUAUGCAGUAUAUGUGUUAAUGGCCUUUUUUCCUUCAGAGUAGUUCACUGAAGCUGUGUAAGAAUAAGGAAAGUAUACAGGAAAAGUGAAAACCUGCCAUGGUUUUCUACAGUAUGGAAGCAACCUGUACUUAAGUUAGGCAAGUCAUGUUAAAGUGAAAAAUGUUCUCUUUGCACCUCCUAUUGUGCUUUACAGAAGUUACAGUCUUCAAACACCCCAAACUAUACCAAUCUAUUGGUUGUUUCAUUUCAGCUUUGCAGUGUAGAGGGAGAUUUUGUCUAAUAUCUUUUAUAGUUUGUUCAUGCUUCUUUGAUUCAGAGAAUUUUUGAAGAGGAUUAAAGGAAAACAGCCUCUGGAUGACUGGUGGGAACUUUAAAUAGCAUAACCACUCUUCUCUGUCCAGUAAAUCCAUUACAUGAUAAACUAUUGAUUUUUAUAACACAAUUAAGGUGCCAAUGAUUUCUUAAGAAAUCAUUCUACAUUUUUUGUAUUAUGCACUCAGCACAUUAUCUAUUGUAAAUCGGAUGAUAGUGUUUUCAGUCUGGAACAAAACCAUCUUCAUGCUAUUCUCAGAAUGAGAAUAGCAUCUCCACACUAGUCUCAGUGCUGCAGAGGGUUUUGCCUCUGAAAUGAACUGAUGGUCUUCAUCAAUUUGAUUGUGCCAUAUAUAUACAAAAAAUUUUUAACCACUGUCAUUUACUACUAUUGGGACAUUCUUAAGGCAGGUAGUUUAUUGUGCCUCAAAAGUUUUAGUAACUUGCACUGACAAGAAUAAAAAUUGAAAUUUCACAAGCAGCCUCAUGAUUUGGGGUUAAAAUGGAUGGCUGUCUGGACUCACAGAGGAAUUUCCUCAUCUCUCCAUCACGUAGUUUGUACAGUGAAGGAGAAUGCCAUGGAGUAUUUCCUUUGAAGCAGCAUGAAGUAUUAGAAAGCAAGAUAUUGGUUGCAAUGGGUCAAAACUGACUCUUCUAUUCUGACAUUUCCUGUGUUCUUUUGUGCUGAGGCAGGAUGAACAGAGCCUUUAUUUGUUCUGAUAACUCUGUGGGUUUUUUUCCCUUUUCUUUCCACUUUUGAUUUUAUUUUUACUGACAAGAUAGGAAAAGAAGUCAAUAUAUAGUUUGAUGUUGCUCAUCCAACUUGUCAGAUUUUUGUUUAGUGUUUUGAUACUGUUUUUUCAUUCAAUUAUUGUUCACAUUGUUGGGGUUUAAGGUUUAAGGUUUCUCACAGUAUGCACUGCAUAUAAAUGCCUCUUGUGAUAUCACUUGUGAUAUCUUUCAGAUUAAUCUUUUUAAAUUAAUGUUGUUUUUUUCAGAAAUACAAGUACUUUCAAAUAAAACUCUUUGCACAUUUGGAAUACAAAUAAACCUACAAACCCAAAUACAAAUUGCGAGAAA